UAAAUACUCCCGAGAGACCGAUAGCGAACCAGUACCGUGAGGGAAAGGUGAAAAGAACCCCGAGCAGGGGAGUGAAAUAGACCCUGAACCCGUCUGCCUACAAGCGGUCGGAGCGUCGUAAUGACGUGACGGCGUGCCUUUUGCAUAAUGAACCUACGAGUUACCUUCCCCGGCAAGGUUAAGUACCUAAGGUACGGAGCCGAAGCGAAAGCGAGUCUGAACAGGGCGCCAAGUCGGGGGGGGUAGACGCGAAACCGAGUGAUCUACCCUUGGCCAGGUUGAAGGUUGGGUAACACCAACUGGAGGACCGGAUGGGUAAGCGUUGAAAAGCUUUCCAAUGAGCUGAGGGUAGGGGUGAAAGGCUAAUCAAACUCGGAGAUAGCUCGUACUCCCCGAAAUGCAUUUAGGUGCAGCCUCUUUAUAGUAUAUCGUGAGGUAGAGCGACUGAUUGGAUGCGAGGGCUUCACCGCCUAUCAAGUCCAGAUAAACUCCGAAUGCGUGCUAUAUAUUGAUAAGGAGUGAGGGCGCGGGUGCUAAGGUCCGCGUCCGAGAGGAGAAGAAUCCAGACCAUCAGCUAAGGUCCCCAAAUAACAGUUAAGUUGAACUAACGAAGUCGGACUGCAGAGACAGCUAGGAUGUUGGCUUGGAAGCAGCCAUUCAUUUAAAGAGUGCGUAACAGCUCACUAGUCGAGGAGUCCGGCGUGGAUAAUACUCGGGCAUAAACUGUUUACCGAAGCUAUGGAUGUAGAAAUACAUGGUAGGGGAGCAUUCCAACGGCGUCGAAGGUGAAGGAUGACCUUUGCUGGAGCUUUUGGAAACGCAAAUGUAGGUAUAAGUAACGAUAAAGGAGGUGAGAAACCUCCUCGCCGAAAGACUAAGGUUUCCUGAUCAACGUUAAUCGGAUCAGGGUAAGUCGGGACCUAAGGUUAAGCCGAACGGCGAUACCGAUGGAAGAAUGGUUUAAUAUUCCCAUACUACUUUAUGGAGCGAUGUGGAGACGGAGAAGUGAAAGUCCUGCCAUCUGACGGAAUAGGUGGUUGAAGAGUGUAGAUGUAGAUUCCUGUAGGCAAAUCCGCAGGGAGAGUCGACCUUGAUAGUAUGCCGCGUGCUUGCACAAGGCAAAAUGGACGUAAUCAGGCUCCCAAGAAAAUCCGCUAAGCAUAUUCAUAAAGUACCCGUACCGUAAACGGACACACGUAGUUGGGUUGAAAAUACUGAGGCGCUCGAGUGAUUCACGGUUAAGGAACUAGGCAAAUUGACCCUGUAACUUCGGGAUAAAGGGUCCCUACUGAGAGGUAGGGCGCAGAGAAUAGGUCCAGGCAACUGUUUAACAAAAACACAUGGCUGUGCGAAAUAGAAAUAUGAAGUAUACAGCCUGACACCUGCCCGGUGCUGGAAGGUUAAGAGGAGAGCUCAUCGCAAGAGAAGGCUUGAAUUGAAGCCCCAGUAAACGGCGGCCGUAACUAUAACGGUCCUAAGGUAGCGAAAUUCCUUGUCGGGUAAGUUCCGACCUGCACGAAUGGUGUAAUGAUCUGGACACUGUCUCAACCGUGAGCUCAGUGAAAUUGUAGUAUCGGUGAAGAUGCCGAUUACCCGCGAUGGGACGAAAAGACCCCGUGAACCUUUACUAUAGCUUUACAUUGAAUUUGGGCAAUCGAUGUGUAGGAUAGGCCGGAGACCGUGAAGCAGGUACGCCAGUAUUUGUGGAGUCGCCGUUGAAAUACGGCCCUUUGGUUGUUUGAGUUCUAACCCGCAGAAGCGGGGACACUGUAUGGUGGGUAGUUUGACUGGGGUGGUCGCCUCCAAAAGAGUAACGGAGGCUUCUAAAGGUACCCUCAGACCGAUUGGUAACCGGUCGCAGAGUGUAAUGGCAUAAGGGUGCUUGACUGGGAGACAGACAAGUCGAUCAGGUAGGAAACUAGAGCAUAGUGAUCCGGUGGUUCCGCAUGGAAGGGCCAUCGCUCAAAGGAUAAAAGGUACUCCGGGGAUAACAGGCUGAUCCCUCCCAAGA
This 2011-nucleotide ribosomal RNA is filed under the name human gut metagenome. RNAcentral's name for it is "bacterial LSU rRNA". It matches the Rfam family "Bacterial large subunit ribosomal RNA", at positions 467 to 2497 of the family's 2925-position model. The record is from RNAcentral.